UACGUAGGUCCCGAGCGUUGUCCGGAUUUAUUGGGCGUAAAGCGAGCGCAGGUGGUUUAUUAAGUCUGGUGUAAAAGGCAGUGGCUCAACCAUUGUAUGCAUUGGAAACUGGUAGACUUGAGUUCAGGAGAGGAGAGUGGAACUCCAUGUGUAGCGGUGAAAUGCGUAGCUAUAUGGAGGAACACCGGUGGCGAAAGCGGCUCUCUGGCCUGUAACUGACACUGAGGCUCGAAAGCGUGGGGAGCAAACAGG
Molecule: ribosomal RNA, 252 nt
Filed under: uncultured bacterium
Lineage: Bacteria
Description: partial 16S ribosomal RNA
Rfam family: Bacterial small subunit ribosomal RNA
Source: RNAcentral